UUUUGGUCAACGAACGAUUCACAUCAAAGUUCGCGAAAGAAAGAAUCACUGUAGAAUGAAUGUUCCACAGUCAACUACUAAAUUUUCCAAAUAGGUACCUAUCGCUUGGGAACGAAUAAAUCACUAAUCAAGAUGAAUGUUUCGAGAACGAAUUGCUCAAUUUUGCCAACAAAAAUUAAAAAUUUGCUCAGUUUUGUUAAUUUACGCAAAUUGAUGGCUAAUCUAACCAGCUUAACAUUUUCUCAUUAAAAUACAUAAGUACUUAUAUUAUUCCAUUAUCUUUUUCUUUUUUUUUUUUUUUGCAAAAAAUUCCAUCAACAGCUUUUCUUUUUUACAUGUAAGUUCGUCACUUGUAGAUAACCCAUUACCUAGCUCUACAAAAACAAUAUUUCACCUAAUUUUCACCUUUACAAAUUCACCAAGUACAAGAAAACUUAUCAAACUUUUGUAUGUAAAAAAAAAACAACAACAACAACAACAACAACUAUUGAGAACCUCGAACAGGAAACCCUAUCAACUAUUGCGCAAUAUUUGAAACCGCGUAAAAAAAUUCUAUACCGAUUUUUGUUCAAUUGUUACGUGGCACAAAAAAAUGGCUCUAAAUUUGAGAAACCUGUUGCCCAUUUUGGGCCUAGGCCUCCUAGUAUGUUUAUCAUUCGGUAAUUUUAUCUUUGUAGAUGCGAAUCUGCAAUCGGUGGUGUCUUUGAAUAUGCUUUUAUUCGUAUUCGGAUUAUUUUUGGUACCGUUAUUUUUCAUGAUUCCGAUCGGACCUCUGUUUUUCAUCGGUUACGUGUUGUUUGUUAUUGGCGCAGACUUUUACGUAUUUUUCCAACCGUGAAUUAUCGAUAAUCAACAGUAAUCUAUACGAAGGUGACUUGGAAUUUGAAAAGGACGUAUGUAUUUUUUAGCUCGAUAAAUAAAUGGAAUAAAAUUGUUUAUUUUUAAAAUAUAGAUAUAUUUUUCACUGGUAAUAAAAUUUUUAGUCGCCGA
Long non-coding RNA from Planococcus citri (citrus mealybug), 990 nucleotides. RefSeq lists it as uncharacterized. The transcript is spliced from 2 exons. NCBI's taxonomy places the organism in Eukaryota, Metazoa, Arthropoda, Insecta, Hemiptera, Pseudococcidae. The record is from RefSeq and is a predicted model, not a curated record.